This 289-nucleotide ribosomal RNA is filed under the name uncultured bacterium. Its description in RNAcentral is "partial 16S ribosomal RNA". It matches the Rfam family "Bacterial small subunit ribosomal RNA", at positions 775 to 1067 of the family's 1533-position model. The record is from RNAcentral.
GGAUUAGAUACCCUGGUAGUCCACGCCGUAAACGAUGAUAACUGGUUGUGUGCGAUACACAGUGCGCGACUGAGCGAAAGCAUUAAGUUAUCCACCUGGGGAGUACGUUCGCAAGAAUGAAACUCAAAGGAAUUGACGGGGGCCCGCACAAGCGGAGGAACAUGUGGUUUAAUUCGAUGAUACGCGAGGAACCUUACCUGGGCUUAAAUGUAGAGUGCAUUGCUUGGAAACAGGCAUUUUCUUCGGAACUCUUUACAAGGUGCUGCAUGGUUGUCGUCAGCUCGUGCCG